AUAUUGGUGAUCUCUAUAACAUGAAGUCCUUUGAUGGAAAUGGGCUUCAACACCUCUCCUUUCUCGAAAUCUUCACUUUCGUAAUUGUCAACAACUUGAGCCAUUUCCUGAAAAUUGCGUUCCUUCCUCGCUGAAAUCACUUGAAAUUUGGAGUUGUGAAAGACUUGAAUCAUUACCGGAAGACUGCCUCCCUGAUUCUCUGAAGCGUCUGAGCAUCGUAUUUUUCCCUUUGUUAAAAGAAAGGUAUAAAAGGAAGGAACAUUGGUCCAAAAUUUCUCUCAUUCCUGUCAUAAA
Molecule: long non-coding RNA, 294 nt
Filed under: Medicago truncatula (barrel medic)
Lineage: Eukaryota; Viridiplantae; Streptophyta; Magnoliopsida; Fabales; Fabaceae
Description: lncRNA gene14264
Source: RNAcentral